CAGCAUGGACAUGAGGGCACCUGUUCAGCUCCUGGUACUCCUGCUGCUCUGGGUCCCAGGUGCCCCGUGUGACCUCCAGAUGACUCAGUCUCCCUCAUCAUUGUCUGUGUCUCUAGGAGACACUGCCACCAUCACUUGCAGGUCCAGCGAGGACAUUGGGUAUGCUUUAGCCUGGCACCAGCAGCAACCAGGGAAAGCUCCAAAAUCUCUGAUAUAUAGUGCAGAUAGUUUAGAAUCUGGAGUUCCACCAAGGUUCAGUGGCAGUGGGCAUGGGACAGAGUUCACUCUCACCAUCAGCAGCCUGCAGCCUGAAGAUGUUGCCACUUAUUACUGUCAAAAAGCUUUCAGUACUCCUUCAACAGUGAUACAAGUCAUAACAAAAACCUCCCAGAGAAGCAAAGUGUGA
Molecule: non-coding RNA, 406 nt
Organism: Dipodomys spectabilis (banner-tailed kangaroo rat)
Lineage: Eukaryota; Metazoa; Chordata; Mammalia; Rodentia; Heteromyidae
Source: the annotation of a RefSeq genome assembly